AGCAGCCGCGGUAAUUCCAGCUCCAAUAGCGUAUAUUAAAGUUGUUGCAGUUAAAAAGCUCGUAGUUGAAUUUCGGGAUCAAUACGUCGGUCGUGCCUCUGGUAUGUACUGGUGUUAUUGAUUUCUCCUUUCUGAUGAAUCAUGAUGUCAUUAAUUUGGUGUUGUGUGGAGUCAGGACUGUUACUUUGAAAAAAUUAGAGUGUUUAAAGCAGGCUCACGCCUGAAUACAUUAGCAUGGAAUAAUGAAAUAGGACGUUCGAUCCUAUUUUGUUGGUUUCUAGGAUCAACGUAAUGAUUAAUAGGGAUAGUUGGGGGCAUUAGUAUUCAAUUGUCAGAGGUGAAAUUCUUGGAUUUAUUGAAGACUAACUACUGCGAAAGCAUUUGCCAAGGAUGUUUUCAUUAAUCAAGAACGAAAGUUAGGGGAUCGAAGACGAUCAGAUACCGUCGUAG
RNAcentral lists this ribosomal RNA (450 nucleotides) under uncultured Glomeromycotina. RNAcentral describes it as "SSU rRNA". It matches the Rfam family "Eukaryotic small subunit ribosomal RNA", at positions 569 to 1023 of the family's 1831-position model. Lineage: Eukaryota; Fungi; Glomeromycota. The record is from RNAcentral.